UACGGAGGGUGCAAGCGUUAGUCGGAAUUACUGGGCGUAAAGGGUGCGUAGGCGGUUAUGUAAGUCAGACGUGAAAUUCCGAGGCUCAACCUCGGAGCUGCAUCUGAAACUGCGUAACUAGCGGGAUGGCGGAGAAAACGGAAUUCCAUGUGUAGCGGUGAAAUGCGUAGAUAUAUGGAAGAACACCUGUGGCGAAAGCGGUUUUCUAGCCUCCCCCGGACGCUGAGGCACGAAAGCAAGGGGAUCAAACAGG
RNAcentral lists this ribosomal RNA (253 nucleotides) under uncultured bacterium. RNAcentral's name for it is "partial 16S ribosomal RNA". It matches the Rfam family "Bacterial small subunit ribosomal RNA", at positions 524 to 776 of the family's 1533-position model. The record is from RNAcentral.